Molecule: long non-coding RNA, 238 nt
Filed under: Parus major (Great Tit)
Lineage: Eukaryota; Metazoa; Chordata; Aves; Passeriformes; Paridae
Description: lncRNA (ENSPMJG00000016220.1)
Source: RNAcentral
UGCCUUUAACAGCAGUGUCAGGCCAGGAGCAGGCCGUGCUGGUGCCAGCAGUACAGACACACACAGCAGUCUGUGCCACACAGACAGGGCACAAUGCAGGAUGUGAAGGAUCUUUCCUGGAAGCAUUCCAGCUCACACUCAUUUCCAGUAGCCAGGAUUACUGCAGGAGGGAGCCAGCAUAACUUGAAGGGGGAAAGACCAAUUUCCCUAGAUUAACCUGUGAAAGCAGGGAGUGCAG